AAGUCGUAACAAGGUUUCCGUAGGUGAACCUGCGGAAGGAUCAUUAUUACGUAUCCACGUAUCAAAAACCAAAUCGUGAACUGUUUCCCUUCUGAUGAGGAUUUUCUGCGAGUGUUACAAGUGGAAAGCAAUUUACACUUGAGAAAUGCAUGGUGGCUGGGAGCAAUCCUGGACAACAGCACUCGGUCCUGGUUUUCAGCUUGCUGAAGGCCAGCUUAUCAGAUGUGGUUUGUAUAAAUCUCACUAUGCUACAAAACUAUUAACCCUUGUAAACAACUGAACUAAAAUACGGAGAUUGCUCUUCGGAGUGUCUUCGGAUAAAAACCGAAACUUAAGAAACAACUCUUAACAACGGAUAUCUUGGUUCUC
Molecule: unclassified non-coding RNA, 369 nt
Filed under: fungal sp.
Lineage: Eukaryota; Fungi
Description: partial internal transcribed spacer region
Rfam family: Eukaryotic small subunit ribosomal RNA (bases 1-46)
Source: RNAcentral